Molecule: ribosomal RNA, 373 nt
Filed under: uncultured eukaryote
Lineage: Eukaryota
Description: partial 18S ribosomal RNA
Rfam family: Eukaryotic small subunit ribosomal RNA
Source: RNAcentral
CAAUAGCGUAUAUUAAAGUUGUUGCAGUUAAAAAGCUCGUAGUUGAAUUUUUGCUUGCCGCCGAUGUCGGAACUUCCGUACGUUCGGCGGCGUGCAUCCUUGGGUGGAACCUGCGUGGCAUUAGGUUGUCGUGCAGGGGAUGCUCAUCGUUUACUGUGAAAAAAUUAGAGUGUUCAAAGCAGGCUUACGCCGUUGAAUAUAUUAGCAUGGAAUAAUAAGAUAGGACCUUGGUACUAUUUUGUUGGUUUGCGCACCGAGGUAAUGAUUAACAGGGACAGUUGGGGGUAUUCGUAUUCCAUUGUCAGAGGUGAAAUUCUUGGAUUUCUGGAAGACGAACUACUGCGAAAGCAUUUACCAAGGAUGUUUUCAUUAA